RNAcentral lists this long non-coding RNA (334 nucleotides) under Androctonus crassicauda. The record is from RNAcentral. Lineage: Eukaryota; Metazoa; Arthropoda; Arachnida; Scorpiones; Buthidae.
UUUAUAUUAAUCGAUUGUAUUUUGUUGCUUGUGUAGCGUAUUAUUUACUCGCAUUUUCUAUAUUAAUUAUAUUUUUACAGAUAUGAUUCGUAAUGAUGAAAGAAAUUCAAAUCGAUGAUAAUUAGUAAGAAAGAAACGUUUUUGAAAGAAAACGUUAUAUUCGUUGUGAUAGCGUUUAAAAUAAAUUAUAUCGAUCAAUUAAAAAUAAGGGGGCCCCAUCGACAUUUUUGCGGGGGGCCUCUCAGUUUUCAGGUACGCCACUGGUUUUCACAUACUUUUUAUGGCUUUUUUUUAUAUAAUAACCACAAUAUUCAAAAGAUUUCUCUGAUUUAUA